Molecule: long non-coding RNA, 1567 nt
Organism: Monodelphis domestica (gray short-tailed opossum)
Lineage: Eukaryota; Metazoa; Chordata; Mammalia; Didelphimorphia; Didelphidae
Source: Ensembl
GCCUGAUGUCAGAACCAAUCACGUCCGGUCAAAGCCCAGCCCGCCCCCGCCGGUGUCCCAUUGGCUUCAUGUUCCGGGUCUGAUGACAGGGAGUGUUCUGGUUGUUCAGGGUGCAUUCUGUCCCCCCGAGGGCAGCCUCCGAGGGCAAGCCAGCGUUCUGCCUCGGGAGAGAAGACGGGAGACCGUGGCCCCGGUCCGGCCUGCAGCCAGAGGCGAUGAUGGCCCGUGAGGCCCCGAGACCCCCAUCCCAGGAGUCAGUGACGUUCAGGGACGUGGCUGUGAGCUUCACCCUGGAGGAGUGGGGCCUGUUGGAGCCUUCUCAGAAAGAGCUGUACCGGGAGGUCAUGCUGGAGAACGCCCAGAACGUGCUCUGCGCGGACUCUGAGGAAGACAGUGAGUGUGGAAAUUGGACAUUGUUUGAACCUAGUCCUGUAUGACUGGAAAUCUGAACCACCUGUGUUUGCUGUUGUAAAAAAUAGACUAGAAUUCAGGACUCCAAUCCCCAGAAUCCUUUGCUACACUUCCCCAGAAUGCUUUGUAAUCUCACUGAAUUCUCAGGUGGGCUGAGAUCGAGAAGGGAUUUAACCUGAUUGCAAAGGCUUUUGUGGCCUCUUUUGGACUGUCGUUUUGGAGUAGACUCGGCUCUUCCAUGAUGUGAGAUUAUCUUGUCUAGGCCUCUCUGGCCUAGGCACAUGUUUCUUAUCCUGUAUAUUCUUAAAUGCUUAACCUUUUAUAAACCUCUAAAAAAUAUAAUACUCCUUGCAGAGAGAAACUAAUUUCUACCUGCCUCAGUCUCCCCUAAAUUUUAAUCUUUACAGUUGGCGACCUAAUGGGAGAAAAAGACUCUCAAUCUUCUGAUUCUUUUCUGAUCUUUAGUUCAACUUUAAUAGCUAGUGCCUAGAAUUUUUUUUAAGCCAUGUUUCUCCAAGAUGCUUUUUAAAAAAACCAUCUUGAUCAGCUCCUGCCUGCAGCCCCCAUUCCUGACCUCUCUCCGUCCUCACCUGGUCCUGGCCCUGCCCACCCCUGUGGUCUUUCUCUUGAUCACCUGGCCCACCUGAUUCAACCAAGAUUGCAAUCACCUGGUGUCCGAUCUCCCGGCCCUGCCUUCCUGUUUCUGCGCCCCAGACCCACGAGCGCAACCCCAACUGGCUCAUCAUCCAGAUCCUUGGAGCAGAUCGCUCAGGACUCAUUUCUACCAGCUGGUAACAGUAUUGGCCAUGUGGGAAGAGGGGAGAGACAAGAGGGAAAGGAGACCGGGUAAUUUUCCCUUAGGCUAAGCCUCCACAUGGAUGGGGGUAUGGACCACAUGGGCAGAUCAUAGCAGGGGAGAGAGAAAAAAAAAGGGAGAAGAAACAGACUUUUCAAACAAGAACUCAAAAGCAAUGGGCUAUUUAAAAGAAUACCUUUUUAUCUGUUCUGGUAAUUUUAUUGACUUCACCUGCGUGUCAGAGAGAAGACUCAGCUAACUUUGGGGAGGCAAAUGGGUGGCUCAGCAAACUGAGAGCCAGGCCUAAAGACAUGUGGUUCUGGGUUAAAAUCUGGCCUCAGAUACUUCCCAGCUGUGGGG